GGGCCCGCACAAGCGGUGGAGUAUGUGGUUUAAUUCGAUGCAACGCGAAGAACCUUACCAGGGCUUGACAUCCUGCGAAUCUCUGGGAAACCGGAGAGUGCCUUCGGGAACGCAGUGACAGGUGGUGCAUGGCUGUCGUCAGCUCGUGUCGUGAGAUGUUGGGUUAAGUCCCGCAACGAGCGCAACCCACGUCUUUAGUUGCCAGCAUUUAGUUGGGCACUCUAGAGAGACCGCCGGUGACAAACCGGAGGAAGUGGGAUGACGUCAAUCAUCACGGCCCUUACGUUCUGGGCUACACACGUGCUACAAUGGCCGGUACAGAAAGCAGCCACUAUGCGAAUAGGAGCUAAUCUUUAAAACCGGUCUC
This 367-nucleotide ribosomal RNA is filed under the name uncultured bacterium. RNAcentral's name for it is "bacterial SSU rRNA". It matches the Rfam family "Bacterial small subunit ribosomal RNA", at positions 917 to 1289 of the family's 1533-position model. The record is from RNAcentral.